ACGAAGGGGGCUAGCGUUGUUCGGAUUUACUGGGCGUAAAGCGCACGUAGGCGGAUCGUUAAGUUGGGGGUGAAAUCCCAGGGCUCAACCCUGGAACUGCCUUCAAUACUGGCGAUCUAGAGUCCGGAAGAGGUGAGUGGAACUCCUAGUGUAGAGGUGGAAUUCGUAGAUAUUAGGAAGAACACCAGUGGCGAAGGCGGCUCACUGGUCCGGUACUGACGCUGAGGUGCGAAAGCGUGGGGAGCAAACAGGA
Molecule: ribosomal RNA, 253 nt
Filed under: uncultured prokaryote
Description: partial 16S ribosomal RNA
Rfam family: Bacterial small subunit ribosomal RNA
Source: RNAcentral